GGGUCCUUCAUCCUGCCUGACCAAGCAGCUUUCCCACUCGUGGGACUGAUAGACGUUUAUCUUAUCUUAUAAACUGACAGCAGCUGUUAGAGCAGGAUGCAAUGCAGACAGUGAUGAGAUUUUCUGCUUCUGAGGAAGUGAAGAAGAACCUGACGGGCACUGUGGGAGGAAACAUCACUCUACCUGACUCUGUGCUGGGGGAAGGAUUUCUGUUAUAUGAAAGAAAGAUUAUUGCUCUGGUGAAUAAUGGAGAAAUUAAAGUCUACAAGAACAGACUUCAGUGGGACAGAAACUCUGGACUCUUUACACUCAGAGAGCUGCAGAGGAACGACUCAGGGAUUUAUACUGUCGACUCUAAAACAGGAAAAGGUUUCACAUCAUCAUAUAAGCUCACAGUGUACGACUCUGUACCGACUCCUGCAGUGAAGAAAGUGAGUGUGAGCUCUGAGAGCUGCUCCUUACUGUGUCGGGUGGACAGAGAGACCACACUGCUGUGGUUCAAAGACGAGCAGAUGCUGAACCAGAGCAGCUCUGCGCUCUCUCUGCCUCUCACUGUGCACAAACAGGACUUCAGCUCCUCUUACAGAUGUGUGGCUGCAAACCCUGCAGAGGAGAAAACUCUUCCUGUCCAUGUGAGAACCACCUGUGGAGACACAGACGACAACGACACCAACAGCUCGACUGAACCAAGAAACUGUGAGAUUAUUUCCAACUGUGAUUUUAAACAUGUUGUUCACUGUGUUUGCUGACAUCUGAUUUCCUGUUUGACAGAUAACAUCCUCAUUAUAAUCUUCUGUGUCCUGAGUGCUACCCUCAUCAUCAUCGUCAUCAUCAUGAAGAGGAAGCAUCCUGUCCAAGACAAGUUUAAACUCCUACAAGCUGCAGGCAGAGCUCCUGUGGAUGAAGUGCUCCUUUACACUGGCACAGCUGACAGCAGACAG
Molecule: long non-coding RNA, 941 nt
Organism: Astatotilapia calliptera (eastern happy)
Lineage: Eukaryota; Metazoa; Chordata; Actinopteri; Cichliformes; Cichlidae
Source: Ensembl